CUGGUCGUACCUCAGUUAGGCCAGAGCGACCGCUUUGGGAGCGGGCUGCCGCAGGUUCGAAUCCUGCCGACCAGA
Molecule: transfer RNA, 75 nt
Filed under: Streptomyces sp. CB03911
Lineage: Bacteria; Bacillati; Actinomycetota; Actinomycetes; Kitasatosporales; Streptomycetaceae
Description: tRNA-Pro
Rfam family: tRNA
About the family: Transfer RNA (tRNA) molecules are approximately 80 nucleotides in length.
Source: RNAcentral